ACCUGAACGGAGAGAUGAGCGGCUUUGGCACCCCCAGCUCGGGGCAGCUGGUGGUGGGCUUUCCCCACCUCUGAGGGACUAACAGCUGCAGCCACAGAAGCAAGGUGGGGGAGAUAAGGACUCUGCAGAGGUCAAGCCAGUCAUUCCUCGGCCUCACACCAUACCAGGGUCUACCUAAGGCUACUUAAAUGGCCAUGGAAUCUCUUCUGAAAAGUUCCAGGAAGGUCUGGAAACAUUGAUUUGUUGUAAGUACUUUGAGCAAAUUAACCGCUCCCCAACUACCACAUACCCCAGUUGCUAAUCUGUAAGCCUAUAGGGUUAGACAACAGGGUCUGAAAUGUUCGGGAUUCCAGAUCCUGCCCCUUCCUCUGCUGCCCCAUCCCAUCCCAUCCCUUUUCUGCUGGCUGAGCUGGACCUCGAAACUCCUGCAGAGGGUGGCUGUGGCUUUUGUGAGGGCAGGCCUGAAGAGGGUGGGGGGUGCUCUGUCCCAGCCCCUCAGCGGUACCUGGCUGUGUGUGUGACAUGAAGCCAGGCACUUCAUGACCUGGCUCCAAAGGGGCCUCAGGGUCUCGCCAAGACUUACUCCUCAAUGCCAAUCUGCCAGUAGAGCUCCUGGGUGACCGGAGCCCAGUAGAUCUGCCCCUGGUACAGGCUGUUGUCCACACCCCCGAAGAUGACCGCUCCUCCGUUCUGAGAACCCUGCUGGCUGCAGGGGGGCAUAGGGAAAGGUGAGUCAGGGAGCAGCUGUGAGAAGGGACUUCCCUGGGAGCUGAACUUGAGUAUGGAACUGGGGCAAGCUCCUAAAGGCUACACUCGGGGUCAUUAUAAACAGAGGAAGUAAAUCAGCAAUAUUAGUAACAGGGUAGGUAAUAUGGUUGGAAAUCAGAUUCCAGUUUUCAAGCUCUGGAUGGUAGAUGCUCUCUCUUCAAGGUGGUUGGCUAAACCUCAGGGUAAGGAAGGGAAGUCCAUUCCAAGCCUCACACCCACUCCUACUGCCUGGCUCCCAGGCCCAACCACAGAACAAAUCGUGUUCGCUGUUGUUUGUGGUGAGGAUAACCACUUGUUAGGAGUUAAUGGUGUACUUUGACCAGAAUCUGGGCCUGGCUGUGGUUCCAGGACCUAGCAAGAACAACAGGCCGAAGGAGAUGAAGCGAUAGAUCGCUAUACAAAAGAAGUGUCCAGGUAGUAAGCAUUGGGUCAGAAGGAAAUGAGCUAACUGGGGACCUGGGCAGGCAGUAAACCCAAGAGGUAUUAAGAAUCAGCAGCAAUACUCGAAGCAAGCUUGGCCAGAGGAGGGAGCGAUGCUGGGGGGAGUGGGCUAGGGACAGAGGCAGGGAUGGGGGGGGGAGUCAGCAGUCCAGGAGGGAGGGCCCUGGAACAGCAUGGCUGGGGCCAAGUGCUCUCUGGGAGGCCUCCGAACCCCAAAGGAUGGAGCCUCAGUUGUCUAGGAUGAAGGAGGUGGGGAGGGGCUGGGACCUGGGGACCCCCAGGCCAUUCCUCACUUGCUGAGGUAGAAGCUGAAGACAGGGCUGGUGAGGGCGCCCUCCUGCAGCAUGCCCUGCAGGGCCGUGGUGGCCUCGCCCAUGGCCAGGGCUGGAUAGGCCAUGCCCAUGAUGCCGUCAAACUGCGCAUAGACGAAAUUGGUACCCGGUUCAUUCUCACUCAGGCCAAACUCCUGGUUGGGGACCUGGAUACUCUGGACCUGGGGGACACGGAGCAUGCACGGUGACAAGUGUAACUCCACCUACUCCCUCCCAGACAUCCCCAGAGACCCCUCAAGACUCAUUCUUCAUCCUCCUUCACCUGUCCACCUUCCUGCUUGACAGGUCUUGCAAGAGCCACUUUCUUUCCUGAAUGGCCUUCCCUGACCACUGCACCCCUUCCCAGGGGCCGGGCCAUCCCAUUCGUCACAGUGUCUUCGGUGUCCUGCACAUGAUGGCCCUUCCUGGGGGUUCACAGGUACCUAGGCACACGGUGAGUGCCGAUAAAUGACUCUCCAGGACCCCCUGCUUUCCCUAGCCCUCACCAGGUCAAGAAGCUAGCCAUUCCAAGAUCCUGAGAUCAUCGAGGGUGGGGCCAACGGGGGACCCUCUGGACUACAGGUGUGAGGACCCAAACCUCAAGGCUCUGACAGAUACCAGGGCAGCCUUAAGACAGUGAACAUCAUCUGUCUCCAAAUACGACUGCAGGAUGGGGCCCGCAUCCUGUGUUGUCCUCCUGCGUGCCUUGCAGACACUCAGUGAGAACUUAGUGAUGAAUGGAACAGAGUGGAAUGGGCUGGAGCCGAUGAAGGGAUAGGUAUUGGUGAGCAGGGAGGGCAAGGCAGAGGUGCCAGUCCCGGGACCAGCUUCCUCCCUCUGGCUUGGGCAUGCCAUGUGACCCUGGACAAGUCCCUGGUCCUCUACAGGACUGGAGCUCUCCCCAGCAAUCCCUGUGAAGACUGCCCUUCCCCCAGGGUGUCGGGGCCCUCCCCUGCCCACCGCCCUCUCUGCCCAGCCCAGCACUCACUGCAGGCCUGGCUCUGGCAGUACACAGAGGGCACCCACAGGUUGGAAGAGCCGGUAUCGAAAAGAACCAGGAAGUUCUGUGGUGGGGUCCCGAUGCUGAUCUCACCGAAGUAGGCAGCCUGGGGUGGGGUGGUGGAGCAGGCUGUUAGCUCCAGAGGGAUCUGGGACCUGCAGCCCAGCAUCCCCCAUGGGCAGAGCAGAGGACAGACCAGCUCCUGCCCUACAGCCCCCACCAGAAGCGGGGGCCUGAGCCUUCCCUUCACACUUGCCCAGAGCCCACAGCCCCUCAGCCUGCGCCUGCCCAGGGCGGCUGCAAAGGCCUGGUGGCUGAGCUGCCAGGCCAGCCAAGUCCCCUCCCAUGCUCUGUCCAGGGAAUGAGGUCUAGGCUGGCAGGUCUGAGAGAAGGGGGCAGGGGUUGAGGGGUGGGUAGGGUGGAGGGGUGCCCCUCGCUGCCCAGGCCUUGCUUUUAGCCUUUGGCAGCAGGGAGAGGGCUUUUACCCCUGGGAGGGUCAGACUCACAUCCAUGUAGGCCAUGGACUCAUAGGCCACGCUGAAGUCACUGAAAUGGUACUUCCGAGCAGGGUCGUACUUGUGGGUCUUCAGGAACUCCUCCAGUAAGCCCUUCUCCUUCAUGGUUUCACGGAUGGACUUGCCUUUCUUCAGGGGGACUCUGCGGCAGGUCUGAGCAUCAGAGCAGGGUGCCCCCUCUCCGGCAGCACCUCCAGCCCACAGCCCAGUCCCCUCUCCCCAUCUCUCGCCGAGGGCCUCAGUCUCCCUGCCGCUCCGCACCCUGUGUCCGUGGCUUGUGUUUGUCUGCGUUUCUCCCUUUCUCCAUGUGUUUCUCUCUCGGUCUCUUUCUCCGUGUCUGUCUCUGUCUCUUACUCCCUCCGCCUUUCUCUUUCUUCCCCUCUCCACCCCUUUCUUUUGAAACUCUUUUCAGGACUCGCUCCAAGUUUCAGGAAAUUGUUUCCUUCACCCUGAUGCCCCCUCCCCAUCUCAGGGGUCCUCAUCCCACCUGGCCCUCUGCUCUCGAGGGUCCCAUAGGUCCCUUCCCAGGAAGAGGUGAGGGACUCCAGGCAUUCCUCUCUGCAGGAAUGUGCAUUUUUACAAGAUUUUACAGAUGACAAGCUUCAUCCCAGGGAAAGUCCUCUCCUGUGGUGGCCGACAGGCACCUGCCACCCGCUGGCUGUGACAGAUUGUGGGUGCAGGGGAGAAGGGCUAGACGGGGGAUCGGAUGGCAGGGUCCCGGUUCUGCCUCCACUGCUAAAUGUCUGGCCUGGGGCCACCCACUGCUCUUCUGGACACAGGACCAGUGGGCAAGUCGGCCUGUGUGGUUUGGGGCCCAGGUCAGCUCUGGAAUUGGGGCUUGAGAAUUAGGGGUUUCUGCCCAUAUCACCCUGGGUUACCCCACUCCUGCCUGGGGCAGGGUGGGGGACAUUCACGCUGAGCUAUUCACAUCGAGCUUCUCUAAUCACUUCUAUAGAAUUUCAUGUUACAAGAAGUUUCUAAGAUGAUCCAUCUUAGAUGAUCCACAUAAGGAACCGCCCUAAGAGCCGAGGUGCGGCCAGUCCAGUCCUCUGGGUGUCCUGUGAGCCCUGCCCCUCACCCCCUUUCUCCUGACACCUCAGCACAUGGAGACUACAUCACUGAUGUUCCUCCUUAGGUGAUUGUAUCAUCUGCCAAAUAAGUUUGGGCCGUAAGGAAAUGUUUAGCAAAUGUCUCCCUACCCAGAGAUAAUUGUUCUUUUCCGUGAGAGGAACCACAGCUGCCAUGCAGGGUCUGCUUGAGCCAUAUGUAGACACCCCUAUUCUCUGUUUCGGGACCAUCUUUCCUCCCUUUGACUGGAUGUUUCCCUGGGGGGUGGGCAGACACUGUGUCUCCUCCCUCCUGCAAUUCCUGUCCUACCAGCUCAGGGAGCCUGUCCUGCCUCUGGCAGGAAUUCUGGAGCAGAGGCAGGUGGGCUGCCCCCUGGCCAACCACCCCUCGCAGGGCUGCAGUCUCCUGCCCAGGCUCCUGCACCCGCCGCCAGGCCCCAAACUCACUUGAUUAUCGCCGCCUCCAAGAGCUGGAGGCAGAGCAGGGCCACCACCAUCCACUUCAUGAUGUCGAUUCCCGACUGUCCACAGAGCGAGAGCUGCUCCGAGCUGGACACUUGCAGGUCUGGUCUAUCCUGUGCCUCUAUCCUUCAUCUCCAGGCCCUACCUGCUUCCCAGCUACACGCUUCUCAUUGCUUAGGGUGACCUGGAGCUGGCCCAGCGCAUUAACCUGGCACAGGAGAGCUUCCCACUUUUGGGUGAGUGGGAAAAAAGCUCCCAUGCCAGGUACCCUCUCUGCCACCUGGUACCCCGCACUCAGGGCUCCAAACAGAUUUGUGAGGCCCCUCAAGCCCUAGGCGGAAGGCCAAGACCAGGCCUGCCAACACCAGUGUUACCCAGCCAGUGGGGAUUUUCCACUCUGGCCACCACCAGCGCUGCCCAGCCAGAACCCUGGAGCCUCCCCUGGCCCUAUGAGUGGGGAGGGGAAGGAGGAAGACAUCAGAAAUCUGCCCAGGCCUGGCCUGGACGGGGAGGUAGCUGCCUGAUUGUGUCUCAAGGCCAGAUCAGCUCCCAUUCCUCCUUGUAGUUCCCAGGGACACAAUGGACUCUGGGAUUGAAUGCCUUCCCAGGGGCAGGGGAUCUGCAGACUUGGAAGUGAAGGCAAAAGAAAGUCAUAGGAUCCUUGGAAUCUCGCCACAUUCUCUGAAUAUAGCAGAGUGCACAGGAUCCCCCACAUCUUGCAAGGUCUACCAGGUACCCCAGCAUGGGCCCUUUCCUUAUCGGGUAGGACCCAGGGGUCUGACGGCUGCCAGGCCGAACUUGCCCCAAUCCCCAUGGCACCAUGUCCCUCCCAAGCAUCCCUGGUUUACUGCGUCAGGCCGGACAUCCUGCUUGUCUACUGGGCCUUGGGAGUCUGCAGCCCCUGCCGACCCAACCUGACCUGACAGCUCAGUCAGCCCCCUCAGCACCCCAGACAUUCCUAAUCCUAGUCUGCCCUGGACCGCCCCUCCACCGCUCAGCCCCCUUCCUGGAAAGCUCACUUCUUUCCCUUCUGCAUGUCCAAAUUCUGCCCAUCCUUCAGGGCCUCACCUCCUAGAGCCAGGGAUGUGCAGAGUCUGAGGACACCUUAGAAGUCAUCCAGUGCCACCCCUACCGAGGACAGGAGCCCCAGGAGGCAUGAUGCAUUAGUUCCCGUCCAAGUUCAUUUUCUUUUUUCAAAAGAUUUUAUUUAUUUUUAGAAGAAGGGAAGGCAGAUAAAGGGAGAGAAACAUCGACUAGUUGUGUCUCCUAUGCACCCUUACCGGGGACUGAACCUGCAACCCAGGCAUGCACCCUGACCUGUAAUUGAACCAGCGACUUUUUGCUUUGUGGGAUGACUCCCAGCCAACUGAGCCCCACCAAUCAGGACCCAAGUUUAUUUUCUACCCUUAAACACUGCACACCUAACUGUGCUGAGCCCUUGGGACCAGAUCUCAUGCUGUCUAGGAUCAGUCUCCACUUGUUUCCUGGGAGGCCCGUUAUUUUUCAGCCUCCAGCCCUUUACCCAUGCCGUGCUGGCCGUCUGGAACAACUUUCCCAAGUCUCUCCUCCUGCAAGACCUUCUCAUCCUUCGAGACCUGCCACAAAUGUCACAGAGUCUCUGUGCAAUGCCUGCCUACUCUCAAACUGACCCCAGCUGUGGAGGACACCGCUUUCCCUUCCCUUAUGGGAUUUAUUUCACACCAUCUUAUAUGCAGUGACUUGCCCCAAAUCCUACCACUUGUAAGUGAAGGGACAGGCCUCUCCUGCACAUGGCUCCGUGAGCAGCUCGUUCAUCUUUCAGAGUGUCUACAAAAGUGACAGUCAUUGCUGAGAAUGUCUCAAGAAGAGAUGGCAACUAUAUAGCAUGCACACUGCCACUGCCAACCCUUCGCCCAUGGCAGACAUCACUAAUCAAACCUAUCACUCUUUCCCGUAGUGCUGAGACAUGGCCUUAAGAUCCUUUUCACUCUGGUGCUCCAUGCAGAUAUUCGCAGUCAAUCUUGAAAUGACAUUCUCCAAGCCCUUUAAUGGAAAGUUUUU
Phyllostomus discolor (pale spear-nosed bat) is the source of this 6604-nucleotide long non-coding RNA. RefSeq lists it as uncharacterized. The transcript is spliced from 4 exons. Lineage: Eukaryota; Metazoa; Chordata; Mammalia; Chiroptera; Phyllostomidae. The record is from RefSeq and is a predicted model, not a curated record.